RNAcentral lists this transfer RNA (68 nucleotides) under Rattus norvegicus (Norway rat). It matches the Rfam family "tRNA". From Rfam's summary of the family: Transfer RNA (tRNA) molecules are approximately 80 nucleotides in length. Lineage: Eukaryota; Metazoa; Chordata; Mammalia; Rodentia; Muridae. The record is from Rfam by way of RNAcentral.
GGGGUUUAGCUCAGUGGUAGAGCACUUGCCUAGGAAGCACAAGGCCCUGGGUUCAGUCCCCAGCUCCG